CUUCAGCAGGAUUUCCACCCCCAGCCCGGGCUGUCAGAGCCGGGAGCAGCAGCGGGAGAGGAGCGGGAGCGCCCCGGGCCCUUCCCCGCCCUCGGCCGCGGCUCCCCGGCCCGGCCCGGCCCGGCCCGGCCGCGGCUCCCGGGCCCGGGAUGUUUCACCGGGCCCGGGGAGGUUUCACCGAGCCCGGGGAGGUUUCACCGGGCCCGGGGAGGUUUCACCGAGCCCGGGAAGGUUUCUCCUCCCCUCAGGGAGGUUUCUCUCUCCCCUCACAAUCUGCUUUUUAAAUUUUUCCUCUCUGUCCGAGCGGUCCUGGAGGAAGCGAAAGGAAUGAUGUCACGGGAUUGUGGCUUGUAAACUUUAUUGUAACUUUUCUUCCGCCGCUUCCAGGUUUAGACAAUAGAACAAAGUGGUGAAAGAACAACAAAAUAUAGCAUUAGUUCCCCCAAUAAAGUAAUUCACGUAUACAGUAUACAUUCUUUUUCACAGUUAACCUAAAGAUCACUUUACGACUUGCUUCACUGUGCGCAUGCUAACUAAAGGAGAGAAAAAACGCUUUUAAAAUUUUUUUUCUUGUGUUUUUUUCCUUUUUUUCCCUUUUUUUUUAGAUUUUUUGGAAGAGACAAUGACAAAUCGGGAAGAAAAAAAAAAGGAAAAAAAAAUAAAAAGAAAGAAAACAGCCUAACCAAGGCAAAGAAGAGGAGGGGAAA
Molecule: long non-coding RNA, 707 nt
Organism: Prinia subflava (tawny-flanked prinia)
Lineage: Eukaryota; Metazoa; Chordata; Aves; Passeriformes; Cisticolidae
Exons: 2
Source: RefSeq, a predicted model, not a curated record